RNAcentral lists this ribosomal RNA (578 nucleotides) under uncultured bacterium. RNAcentral's name for it is "bacterial SSU rRNA". It matches the Rfam family "Bacterial small subunit ribosomal RNA", at positions 102 to 676 of the family's 1533-position model. The record is from RNAcentral.
ACGGGUGAGUAAUGUCUGGGAAACUGCCUGAUGGAGGGGGAUAACUACUGGAAACGGUAGCUAAUACCGCAUGAUGUCGCAAGACCAAAGUGGGGGACCUUCGGGCCUCACGCCAUCGGAUGUGCCCAGAUGGGAUUAGCUAGCAGGUGGGGUAAUGGCUCACCUAGGCGACGAUCCCUAGCUGGUCUGAGAGGAUGACCAGCCACACUGGAACUGAGACACGGUCCAGACUCCUACGGGAGGCAGCAGUGGGGAAUAUUGCACAAUGGGCGCAAGCCUGAUGCAGCCAUGCCGCGUGUGUGAAGAAGGCCUUAGGGUUGUAAAGCACUUUCAGCGAGGAGGAAGGCGUUGUAGUUAAUAACUGCAACGAUUGACGUUACUCGCAGAAGAAGCACCGGCUAACUCCGUGCCAGCAGCCGCGGUAAUACGGAGGGUGCAAGCGUUAAUCGGAAUUACUGGGCGUAAAGCGCACGCAGGCGGUUUGUUAAGUCAGAUGUGAAAUCCCCGAGCUUAACUUGGGAACUGCAUUUGAAACUGGCAAGCUAGAGUCUUGUAGAGGGGGGUAGAAUUCCAGGUGU